Long non-coding RNA from Pteropus alecto (black flying fox), 1544 nucleotides. RefSeq lists it as uncharacterized. The record is from RefSeq and is a predicted model, not a curated record. NCBI's taxonomy places the organism in Eukaryota, Metazoa, Chordata, Mammalia, Chiroptera, Pteropodidae. The transcript is spliced from 2 exons.
ACUGUUAGAGUUUGAAUCUUAAUUUAGGCUCAAGUGUAAAAGGCUAUGUUCAUGCUUCGUCCUGUGCUUUUCAGACCGCUCACCUCUGUGUAUUUUGAUAGGCCCCUCUCCCAGUAGUGAAUGGCUGAUUUACGUCACAUCAAAUUGCAAAGAAAACGCAGCCCUGCCUUGGUCUGCCUCUUUCUCCACUUUUUACCACACGACAGGUGUUUUAAUGCCAGUGCCUUAUUGCCAAGUCCAGCCUUUUCUGAUCUAAAUUUAUAGGAUCAGAAUCAUUUCUUUUGUUUUAACUGUCUGUUAUGGAAAAGUCCAAACACAUGUAAAACACUUCCUUUAACACAUGUAACCACAACACCAUGUAUCGCAGGGAAAAUGUGAGCAUAGGAAGAAAGGGUGCAGGGAGCCCUCUGGGAACUCUGGGAGAUUCAGGGUCAUCUUUGUCUGUGUUCUGUCUGACUCUGGAACUCCAAGCAGCUGUUUCCACAGUGGGCAGCGGUCAGCAUGGCCCAGUGGGGUAACGUCCUCGCACCCUGCUCCUUCCCCUGCUCUCACACUUUCUGUUUUCCUGAAGAACCCCUUUUAUGGCAGUGAUCUCUCAGGUUUUGUUUGUCUGAAGAAGUCUUUGUUCCAGGUUUUUUAAAAGGUAUUUUUGCUGGGUAUAGAAUUCUUGGUUGACUCCCCCCGCCCUCCAACCCUUCAAAGAUUGUCACUUGAAUGUCUUCUAGCUUUCGCAGUUCAGGGAGAAGUCUGCUUUAGUUCUUCUUUGUUCCUCCCCAUGUUAUGUGGGUUUUAUUUGUGUCUUUUGUUGUGGGGUUUUUGUUUGUUUGUUUGUUUGUUUGUUUGUUUGUUUGGCUGCCUUCAGGAUUUUCUCCAUUGACUUUGGUUUUCAUCACUGUGAAUUUGGUGAUUCCAGUGCCCCUAACUUCUCUCCCCACUCUGUGCUCAUGGCCUCACAGUGAUGACAGGGGACCCGUUGCCACUGGCAUUUAUUUAUCCACCUCCAUGCAGCCUCAGGUUUGUAGUGUUCUGGCAACACCAACGGCCACAAGCUGGUGUGGCUUCAUUCAUGGCCCUUAAGGAUUUCACAGUUUUUGAGCAACAGUGUGUGGAGAGGCUCAAAUUAGGUGGCAGCCGUUGUCUCUCAGAUUCGGCAGCUCAACGCUGAGCCCUCUAGGAGGAAACCAUCUCACGAACCCCCUACGUCUUGGUGGAAAGUGGUGAGGCUCCUGGUAAGUUCUCUGUGAGAGAGCUACCACUCUUCUCCUUCCUGUAAGUAGAAAUAUCUGCCAGAUUACAAAGAUUCUUUGGAAUAUAAAGGCUGAAAUGUCCCAUUUUACAUUCUCAUGAACCAUUUAUGUGAAAUGGGUAGAGCUGUAUAAUCCAAGUUUCCAACAUUUUACUUUCUUGGGAAUCUGUGUGUUCGCUUUUGAAAAUUAACACAAGAAAUUUAGCAAACUCCCCAAAAUUAAGAGUACAGUUUCCAUAGCAAGUUUAGCAGUUAGCCUUCAUACACAGAUAAACCCUUCUUUACACAUCUGUAAAAA